UUUGACUGGGGCGGUCGCCUCCCAAAAGGUAACGGAGGCGCUCAAAGGUUCUCUCAGUACGGUCGGAAAUCGUACGUAGAGUGUAAAGGCAAAAGAGAGCUUGAUUGCAAGACAUACAGGUCGAGCAAGGAUGAAAAUCGGACUUAGUGAUCCGGUGGUUCUGCGUGGAAGGGCCAUCGCUCAACGGAUAAAAGCUACCCUGGGGAUAACAGGCUUAUCUCCCCCAAGAGUCCACAUCGACGGGGAGGUUUGGCACCUCGAUGUCGGCUCAUCACAUCCUGGGGCUGUAGUAGGUCCCAAGGGUUGGGCUGUUCGCCCAUUAAAGUGGUACGCGAGCUGGGUUCAGAACGUCGUGAGACAGUUCGGUCCCUAUCCGUCGCAGGCGUAGGAAAUUUGAGAAGACCUGUCCUUAGUACGAGAGGACCGGGAUGGACGUAUCUCUGGUGUACCAGUUGUCCUGCCAAGGGCAUGGCUGGGUAGCUAUGUACGGAAUGGAUAAGCGCUGAAAGCAUCUAAGCGCGAAGCCAACUUCAAGAUAAGAUUUCCCACCGCAAGGGUAAGACCCCAGAAAGACUAUCUGGUUGAUAGGUCGAAGGUGUAAGUGCAGCAAUGUAUUUAGCUUAUCGAUACUAAUAGGUCGAGGACUUGACCAAU
RNAcentral lists this ribosomal RNA (654 nucleotides) under Clostridioides difficile. Its description in RNAcentral is "partial 23S ribosomal RNA". It matches the Rfam family "Bacterial large subunit ribosomal RNA", at positions 2269 to 2925 of the family's 2925-position model. The record is from RNAcentral. Lineage: Bacteria; Bacillati; Bacillota; Clostridia; Peptostreptococcales; Peptostreptococcaceae.